GACGAACGCUGGCGGCGUGCUUAACACAUGCAAGUCGAACGGAAAGGCCCUGCUUGCAGGGUACUCGAGUGGCGAACGGGUGAGUAACACGUGGGUGAUCUGCCCUGCACUUCGGGAUAAGCCUGGGAAACUGGGUCUAAUACCGGAUAGGAGCCAUUUUUAGUGUGAUGGUUGGAAAGUUUUUUCGGUGUAGGAUGAGCUCGCGGCCUAUCACCUUGUUGGUGGGGUAAUGGCCUACCAAGGCGGCGACGGGUAGCCGGCCUGAGAGGGUGGACGGCCACAUUGGGACUGAGAUACGGCCCAGACUCCUACGGGAGGCAGCAGUGGGGAAUAUUGCACAAUGGGCGCAAGCCUGAUGCAGCGACGCCGCGUGGGGGAUGACGGCCUUCGGGUUGUAAACUCCUUUCGCUAGGGACGAAGCUUUUUGUGACGGUACCUAGAUAAGAAGCACCGGCUAACUACGUG
Molecule: ribosomal RNA, 465 nt
Filed under: uncultured bacterium
Lineage: Bacteria
Description: partial 16S ribosomal RNA
Rfam family: Bacterial small subunit ribosomal RNA
Source: RNAcentral